GUAACACAAAGAUGCUUUAUCCAACUUAUCUGCUGUGUUUAUUGUUGUGCUAUAUUCAGUAUUCCUGUGGACAGACCAUGAUGACACAGGCUCCAGAUUUAUUCACUGUGCCACCUGGAGAAACUAUCAGCAUCAAAUGUAAAGCCAGUAGCAGUGUUAACACUGAUAGAUUACACUGGUACCAACAGAAAUCAGGACAAGCUCCAAAGCUUCUUAUCUAUGGUACAAGCAACAAACACACAGGGACCCCAGACAGGUUCAGCGGCAGUGGGUCUGGUACUGAUUACACUCUCACAGUCAGCAGAGUGCAAGCAGAAGAUGCAGCAGAUUAUUACUGUCAGCAGGGUCAUAGCUUCCCUCGCACAGUGAUACAGAGCUACAAGGGUGGAGUGGUGGUGUUAAUGAAUUAUAUGGAUUAUAAGGCAGAAAUAUUAUCACAGCUUACGGAUCAGACCACCUACAGAAAUCUACCAAGUGACCCGACGUCUGGGUUUAAAAACAAAAUUGAUCAGUAUCUAUUGGCAGCAUUCCAACAAGGCUUCUUGGAUAAAGAUACAUUUGCUUUUCUGACGGUCACCCAUUCAAGGACUCCAGUGUUUUACACACUGCCUAAGAUUCAUAAACAACUCAACAAACCACCUGUCAGAGACCCAUUGUCUCCACCAUUGGGUCUGUUCAGCAACCCAUAG
Non-coding RNA from Bombina bombina (fire-bellied toad), 689 nucleotides. The record is from the annotation of a RefSeq genome assembly. Lineage: Eukaryota; Metazoa; Chordata; Amphibia; Anura; Bombinatoridae.